GUAUAUACGUUUGUAUAGGGAAUCACGGUGAAAAUCCGUGGCUGUGCCGCAACUGUAAAGCCAGAAAACUAUACUGCCC
Molecule: non-coding RNA, 79 nt
Filed under: Candidatus Levyibacteriota
Lineage: Bacteria
Source: RNAcentral